AGCGAACGCUGGCGGCAGGCCUAACACAUGCAAGUCGAACGCGUGUAGCAAUACACGAGUGGCAGACGGGUGAGUAACACGUGGGAACGUGCCCUUCGGUUCGGAAUAACUCAGGGAAACUUGAGCUAAUACCGGAUACGCCCUUACGGGAAAGAUUUAUCGCCGAUGGAUCGGCCCGCGUCUGAUUAGCUAGUUGGUGAGGUAACGGCUCACCAAGGCGACGAUCAGUAGCUGGUCUGAGAGGAUGAUCAGCCACACUGGGACUGAGACACGGCCCAGACUCCUACGGGAGGCAGCAGUGGGGAAUAUUGGACAAUGGGGGAAACCCUGAUCCAGCCAUGCCGCGUGAGUGAUGAAGGCCCUAGGG
Molecule: ribosomal RNA, 367 nt
Filed under: uncultured bacterium
Lineage: Bacteria
Description: bacterial SSU rRNA
Rfam family: Bacterial small subunit ribosomal RNA
Source: RNAcentral